Molecule: unclassified non-coding RNA, 242 nt
Filed under: Hevea brasiliensis (rubber tree)
Lineage: Eukaryota; Viridiplantae; Streptophyta; Magnoliopsida; Malpighiales; Euphorbiaceae
Source: RNAcentral
AUCCCAAUUUUUCAAUCCCCAAGGGUACAGCUAUGAUAAAGGUGAAAGCUGGGAUUAGAUUAUCAAUAGCGGAAACAAUUGUUGGAGUUGAAUUCUUUAGCCCGAUGAAAUAUAUGUUUUGGUUCGCUGUUAUCCCGAAAAUAGAACACAAAAAUAUCUGAAAAAGUACAGAACAUGUCAUCUUGGGUCUAGUUUUCCUCUCUAAGAAGAAAGCAAAUGGAGCAAUGGAGAUAGUGGCAAAA